CAGUCGCCGCGGUAAUACAGAGGGUGCAAGCGUUAAUCGGAAUUACUGGGCGUAAAGCGCGCGUAGGUGGUUUGUUAAGUUGGAUGUGAAAUCCCCGGGCUCAACCUGGGAACUGCAUCCAAAACUGGCAAGCUAGAGUAUGGUAGAGGGUGGUGGAAUUUCCUGUGUAGCGGUGAAAUGCGUAGAUAUAGGAAGGAACACCAGUGGCGAAGGCGACCACCUGGACUGAUACUGACACAGAGGUGCGAAAGCGUGGGGAGCAAACAGGAUUAGAUACCCCAGUAGUCCCUGUCUCUUAUAC
Molecule: ribosomal RNA, 301 nt
Filed under: uncultured bacterium
Lineage: Bacteria
Description: partial 16S ribosomal RNA
Rfam family: Bacterial small subunit ribosomal RNA
Source: RNAcentral